AGUGAACGCUGGCGGCGUGCUUAACACAUGCAAGUCGAACGAGAACGGAAUAUAGCUUGCUAUAUUUGUCAGCUAAGUGGCGCACGGGUGAGUAAUGUAUAGAUAACCUGCCCUUAAGAAAGGAAUAACAGUUGGAAACGACUGCUAAUGCCCUAUAUGCCUUUAAUACAUAAGUAUGCAAGGGAAACGCUUUAGUGCUUAAGGAUGGGUCUGUAUGGUAUCAGCUUGUUGGUGAGGUAAUGGCUCAUCAAGGCUAUGACGCCUAACUGGUUUGAGAGGAUGAUCAGUCACACUGGAACUGAGACACGGUCCAGACUCCUACGGGAGGCAGCAGUGGGGAAUAUUGCACAAUGGACGAAAGUCUGAUGCAGCAACGCCGCGUGGAGGAUGACACAUUUCGGUGCGUAAACUCCUUUUAUAUAGGAAGAUAAUGACGGUACUAUAUGAAUAAGCACCGGCCAACUCCGUGCCAGCCGCCGCGGUAA
This 485-nucleotide ribosomal RNA is filed under the name uncultured bacterium. Its description in RNAcentral is "partial 16S ribosomal RNA". It matches the Rfam family "Bacterial small subunit ribosomal RNA", at positions 29 to 523 of the family's 1533-position model. The record is from RNAcentral.